AGGAGAAGGAGCCAAGGUGUAAUAUUUAGGUGACGUCAAGCAGAAUGAGGUGGACGUGGCGGAGGCUGUGGGCGGUCAAUUCACGGCGCAGGUUACCCACACCUUGCACCACGCUGACUGCCCGCCGCUGUUCACAAAAUUCGGGCAAGCCUGUAUCUCCGUGUUCUGCCCUGGAUAUAGGAGUAAAAGUGCAAUAGUGGCAGAGCUGCAGACGACCCCCGCACGGAAGAGCAACAACAAUCUGGCAGUCAGUCAGUCAGUCAGUUCUCCCACAGUGCUGGCAGUUGCAUCCCGAACCAGCGCAUAUGUGACAGCAUCAAUGAUUGCUGCAGUAACGGAGAGGAUGAGUUUGUGCAGCUGUGUGGGAUUGAGGAGUGCCGGGAGAAGAAUAUCGGGUGUGUGUGAGCCUGUUUACAUCAACACUCGAGAGUCAUACUACUGCCAGUGCCGGCCAUGCAGUGUACAGACUCGUGUCAGAAAGUUCAAGUAUGAAGACAUUGACGAGUGCGUGGAGUCGCCCAGAUCUUCUCC
Portunus trituberculatus (swimming crab) is the source of this 531-nucleotide long non-coding RNA. RefSeq lists it as uncharacterized. Lineage: Eukaryota; Metazoa; Arthropoda; Malacostraca; Decapoda; Portunidae. The record is from RefSeq and is a predicted model, not a curated record. The transcript has 5 exons.